GAUGAACGCUGGCGGCGUGCCUAAUACAUGCAAGUCGAGCGAACAGACGAGGAGCUUGCUCCUCUGACGUUAGCGGCGGACGGGUGAGUAACACGUGGAUAACCUACCUAUAAGACUGGGAUAACUUCGGGAAACCGGAUCUAAUACCGGAUAAUAUAUUGAACCGCAUGGUUCAAUAGUGAAAGACGGUUUUGCUGUCACUUAUAGAUGGAUCCGCGCCGCAUUAGCUAGUUGGUAAGGUAACGGCCUACCAAGGCAACGAUGCGUAGCCGACCUGAGAGGGUGAUUGGCCAAACUGGAACCGAAAAACGGUCCCGACUCCUAAGGGAGGCAGCAGUAGGGAAACUUCCGCAAUGGGCGAAAGCCUGACGGAGCAAAGCCGCGGGAGUGAUGAAGGUCUUCGGAUCGUAAAACUCUGUUAUUAGGGAAGAACAAAUGUGUAAGUAACUAUGCACGUCUUGACGGUACCUAAUCAGAAAGCCACGGCUAACUACGUG
This 497-nucleotide ribosomal RNA is filed under the name uncultured bacterium. RNAcentral describes it as "partial 16S ribosomal RNA". It matches the Rfam family "Bacterial small subunit ribosomal RNA", at positions 28 to 507 of the family's 1533-position model. The record is from RNAcentral.